RNAcentral lists this ribosomal RNA (253 nucleotides) under uncultured bacterium. RNAcentral describes it as "partial 16S ribosomal RNA". It matches the Rfam family "Bacterial small subunit ribosomal RNA", at positions 524 to 776 of the family's 1533-position model. The record is from RNAcentral.
UACAGAGGGUGCGAGCGUUGUUCGGAAUUAUUGGGCGUAAAGGGCGCGUAGGCGGUGCGGUAAGUCACCUGUGAAACCUCAGGGCUUAACCCUGAGCCUGCAGUGGGUACGGGCAGACUAGAGUGUGGUAGGGGAGAUCGGAAUUCCUGGUGUAGCGGUGGAAUGCGCAGAUAUCAGGAGGAACACCGGUGGCGAAGGCGGGUCUCUGGGCCGAUACUGACGCUGAGGAGCGAAAGCGUGGGGAGCGAACAGG